GACGAACGCUGGCGGCGUGCUUAACACAUGCAAGUCGAACGGAAAGGCCCUGCUUUUGUGGGGUGCUCGAGUGGCGAACGGGUGAGUAACACGUGAGUAACCUGCCCUUGACUUUGGGAUAACUUCAGGAAACUGGGGCUAAUACCGGAUAGGAGCUCCUGCUGCAUGGUGGGGGUUGGAAAGUUUCGGCGGUUGGGGAUGGACUCGCGGCUUAUCAGCUUGUUGGUGGGGUAGUGGCUUACUAAGGCUUUGACGGGUAGCCGGCCUGAGAGGGUGACCGGCCACAUUGGGACUGAGAUACGGCCCAGACUCCUACGGGAGGCAGCAGUGGGGAAUAGUGCACAAUGGGCGGAAGCCUGAUGCAGCAACGCCGCGUGCGGGAUGGCGGCCUUCGGGUUGUAAACCGCUUUCGCCUGUGACGAAGCGUGAGUGACGGUAAUGGGUAAAGAAGCACCGGCUAACUACGUG
RNAcentral lists this ribosomal RNA (468 nucleotides) under uncultured bacterium. RNAcentral's name for it is "partial 16S ribosomal RNA". It matches the Rfam family "Bacterial small subunit ribosomal RNA", at positions 28 to 507 of the family's 1533-position model. The record is from RNAcentral.